AUGCCGGCAGCCUGGACGCCGCCCCCUGCCCGCGGGAGGAUCCCAUCCCCCACGCCCGGAUCCGCCUCCUCGGACCUGAUCCAUCCCGGCGCCCACGCCGACGCUCGGAUCCGCAUCCACGGAUUCCAGAUCGAGGCAGGGGCUCACCGUCGACCACCUCUCCCCUCGAGUGUCACGGAUGGGGAGUUGGGCAGUGGUCGGUGCGCCAGCGGUGCACUCUGGUGGUGCUUGCAGUACGUGGGCAUGCCGGCUGGCGUCAGAUCUGGACAUCCUUGCGCGAUGUCGGCAGCGGCUUCACCUACCUCCAACCUUCCUUCUACCUCUGAGUGCGGAUCCCCUCCCCUCCGUCUCCUCCUUCUACCUCCAACUUCCCUCCGCUGCCGGCCGGUGCGGCCUCGACUCCUGCGCCAACAACCGAACUCCCGCGCCACCAACGGCAGCAACAUGUGCGGCAGUGGACUGCAACCCCAGUGGAUCCACUUCACGAUAGAUGCAGUCAACGCCCCUGCAGUGCACAUCGAUCACGCGAUUCCCCUGCAGGUGGUCGCAGUAGUCUACUCGGGAUUCCUCGGUCGUGCCUCUCCUCUUGGACACCACAAGCAAGCCGGCGAAAUCCUGUUCCUCUUCUUCCCCUCCGCUGGGUCUGCCGCCACGGGCGCUGCUGUGGAACACUUGCCCAACAGUACAGCUGCCGUUAAUUUGUCUUCAGAUUUUGCUUGCUUGAGUACUGUGCCUUUUUUUGCAGAUUGUUCUGUAGCUCACUUCGGCGCCUAUUGCAGUUUCUGGCGUGCAUGGGUGCAGUGCGGCAGGAGCAUGUGUGCAGUCCGCCGGCGUGGCAGGAGCAAAAAAAAUGAUGUAACUGCUUGUAAUUUUAUUUUGGGUUUGAGGAGUGCUUUGUGA
RNAcentral lists this ribosomal RNA (900 nucleotides) under Triticum aestivum (bread wheat). RNAcentral's name for it is "partial small subunit ribosomal RNA". The record is from RNAcentral. Lineage: Eukaryota; Viridiplantae; Streptophyta; Magnoliopsida; Poales; Poaceae.